ACAGCUAUAUCAUGUUGAAGCACUAGUUCUCAUCCGAUCACUGAAGUUAAGCAACAUUAAGACUGAUCAGUAUGAAGAUGGGUGACCGCUUGAGAAUACCAGGGACUGUAAG
Non-coding RNA from Acanthosepion pharaonis, 112 nucleotides. Lineage: Eukaryota; Metazoa; Mollusca; Cephalopoda; Sepiida; Sepiidae. The record is from the annotation of a GenBank genome assembly.